Panicum virgatum (switchgrass) is the source of this 435-nucleotide long non-coding RNA. RefSeq lists it as uncharacterized. The record is from RefSeq and is a predicted model, not a curated record. NCBI's taxonomy places the organism in Eukaryota, Viridiplantae, Streptophyta, Magnoliopsida, Poales, Poaceae. The transcript is spliced from 3 exons.
UGUUAGGGGGUUUCCUAUUUCCUGAUGGUUCUGGGAACACCAUCUCAUGGAUGGUCCUUCCAAUUCUGGGACAGUAGUGGGAGAACAUCACUCAGUACAGCUGGGGGUCUGCAGGACUAGCUUGGCUUUACCAGCAGCUUUGUGACGCAUGUCGGCGUGUAGGCAACGACUCGAACCUAGGACGUUGUGCAUACCUCCUGCAAAUCUGGAUUUGGGAGCGGUUUCCAGUUGGCCAGCCAUACCGUGGAGAACUAGAGCCAUGGCCGCACCAUGAUCCUGAGUCAAGGCCCACCGUUGCUUACUGUUGGAAGAACAUUGGAGCUGUCAGAGGGGAUCCUUUGCGCCGCUACAUGCGUUACAUGGACGACCUAGACUGCCUCACACAAAAUUAGAUAUUCUGGACACCGUACAGUUGAGACGAGCUAGAGGAUUUGG